CCUUGCACUCACCGCCCGUCACAUCACCCGAGUCUGGUGCUCCCGAAGUCGCUGGCCGAACCCGCAAGGACGGAGGCGCCGAAGGAGUGCCCGGUAAGGGGGGUG
Molecule: ribosomal RNA, 105 nt
Filed under: uncultured bacterium
Lineage: Bacteria
Description: partial 16S ribosomal RNA
Rfam family: Bacterial small subunit ribosomal RNA
Source: RNAcentral